RNAcentral lists this ribosomal RNA (433 nucleotides) under uncultured bacterium. Its description in RNAcentral is "partial 16S ribosomal RNA". It matches the Rfam family "Bacterial small subunit ribosomal RNA", at positions 29 to 507 of the family's 1533-position model. The record is from RNAcentral.
AACGAACGCUGGCGGCAUGCCUAACACAUGCGAGUCGAACGAGACCUUCGGGUCUAGUGGCGCACGGGUGCGUAACGCGUGGGAACCUGCCCUUAGGUUCGGAAUAACUCCCCGAAAGGGGUGCUAAUACCGGAUAAUGUCUUCGGACCAAAGAUUUAUCGCCUUUGGAUGGGCCCGCGUUGGAUUAGCUAGUUGGUAGGGUAAAAGCCUACCAAGGCGACGAUCCAUAGCUGGUCUGAGAGGAUGAUCAGCCACACUGGGACUGGGACACGGCCCAGACUCCUACGGGAGGCAGCAGUGGGGAAUAUUGGACAAUGGGCGAAAGCCUGAUCCAGCAAUGCCGCGUGAGUGAUGAAGGCCUUAGGGUUGUAAAGCUCUUUUACCCGGGAUGAUAAUGACAGUACCGGGAGAAUAAGCUCCGGCUAACUCCGUG